GCUACGGGGGGCAGCAGUGGGGAAUAUUGCACAAUGGGGGAAACCCUGAUGCAGCGACGCCGCGUGAGUGAGGAAGUAUUUCGGUAUGUAAAGCUCUAUCAGCAGGGAAGAAAAUGACGGUACCUGACUAAGAAGCCCCGGCUAACUACGUGCCAGCAGCCGCGGUAAUACGUCGGGGGCAAGCGUUAGCCGGAUUUACUGGGUGUAAAGGGAGCGUAGAAGGCUAAGCAAGUAAGAAGUGAAAACCCAGGGCUCAACCUUGGGACUGCUUUUGAAACUGAGUAGCUAGAGUGCAGGAGAGGUCAGCGGAAUUCCUAGUGUAGCGGUGAACUGCGUAGAUCUUAGGAGGAACACCAGUGGCGAAGGCGGCUUACUGGACUGUAACUGCCGUUGCGGCUCGACAGCGUGGGGAGCAAACAGGAUUAGAUACCCCUGUAGUC
Molecule: ribosomal RNA, 440 nt
Filed under: uncultured bacterium
Lineage: Bacteria
Description: partial 16S ribosomal RNA
Rfam family: Bacterial small subunit ribosomal RNA
Source: RNAcentral